UAAAGGGUACGUAGGCGGCUGGUCAAGUCUGGGGUCAAAGGCCACAGCUCAACUGUGGGAAGGCCCUGGAAACUGACCGGCUAGAGUAGGUAGGGGUUGCGGGAAUUCCCGGUGUAGCGGUGAAAUGCGUAGAGAUCGGGAAGAACACCUGAGGCGGAAGCGCGCAACUGGGCCUCAACUGACGCUGAGGUACGAAAGCUAGGGGAGCGAAUGGGAUUAGAUACCCCAGUAGUCCUAGCCGUAAACGAUGGACACUAGACGUUGGCCGAUCGACCCGGUCAGUGUCGGAGCUAACGCGUUAAGUGUCCCGCCUGGGGAGUACGCACGCAAGUGUGAAACUCAAAGGAAUUGACGGGGGCCCGCACAAGCGGUGGAGCAUGUGGUUUAAUUCGAUGCAACGCGAAGAACCUUACCAGGGCUUGACAUGCCGCGAACCCUGCGGAAACGUGGGGGUGCCUUCGGGAGCGUGGACACCGGUUGCAUGGCUGUCGUCAGCUCGUGUCGUGAGAUGUUGGGUUAAGUCCCGCAACGAGCGCAACCCUUGUUCCUAGUUGCCAGCAUUGAGUUGGGCACUCUAGGGAGACUGCCGGUGACAAACCGGAGGAAGGUGAGGAUGACGUCAAGUCAGCAUGCCCCUUACGCUCUGGGCUACACACGUGCUACAAUGGCGCGGACAAAGGGUCGCGAGCGCGCGAGCGUGAGCCAAUCCCAAAAACCGCGUCUCAGUUCAGAUCGCAGGCUGCAACUCGC
RNAcentral lists this ribosomal RNA (750 nucleotides) under uncultured cyanobacterium. RNAcentral's name for it is "bacterial SSU rRNA". It matches the Rfam family "Bacterial small subunit ribosomal RNA", at positions 561 to 1315 of the family's 1533-position model. Lineage: Bacteria; Bacillati; Cyanobacteriota. The record is from RNAcentral.